RNAcentral lists this ribosomal RNA (459 nucleotides) under uncultured bacterium. Its description in RNAcentral is "partial 16S ribosomal RNA". It matches the Rfam family "Bacterial small subunit ribosomal RNA", at positions 338 to 795 of the family's 1533-position model. The record is from RNAcentral.
CCUACGGGUGGCUGCAGUGAGGAAUAUUGGUCAAUGGGCGGAAGCCUGAACCAGCCAAGUAGCGUGCGGGAUGAAGGCCCUACGGGUCGUAAACCGCUUUUGCACGGGGAUAACACCCUCCACUUGUGGAGGUCUGCAGGUACCGUGCGAAUAAGGGCCGGCUAAUUCCGUGCCAGCAGCCGCGGUAAUACGGAAGGCCCGAGCGUUAUCCGGAUUUAUUGGGUUUAAAGGGUGCGUAGGCGGGCUGUUAAGUCAGCGGUCAAAUGUCGGGGCUCAACCCCGGCCUGCCGUUGAAACUGGCGGCCUCGAGUGGGCGAGAAGUAUGCGGAAUGCGUGGUGUAGCGGUGAAAUGCAUAGAUAUCACGCAGAACUCCGAUUGCGAAGGCAGCAUACCGGCGCCCGACUGACGCUGAGGCACGAAAGCGUGGGUAUCGAACAGGAUUAGAUACCCGUGUAGUC